Molecule: transfer RNA, 69 nt
Filed under: Marmota marmota marmota (Alpine marmot)
Lineage: Eukaryota; Metazoa; Chordata; Mammalia; Rodentia; Sciuridae
Also listed under: 2 other names
Rfam family: tRNA
About the family: Transfer RNA (tRNA) molecules are approximately 80 nucleotides in length. Their secondary structure includes four short double-helical elements and three loops (D, anti-codon, and T loops).
Source: Rfam by way of RNAcentral
GGGGUUGUGGCUCAGUGGCAGAGCGCUUGCCUAGCAUGUGUGAGGCUCUGGGUUCGAUUCUCAGCACCA